RNAcentral lists this unclassified non-coding RNA (203 nucleotides) under Hevea brasiliensis (rubber tree). Lineage: Eukaryota; Viridiplantae; Streptophyta; Magnoliopsida; Malpighiales; Euphorbiaceae. The record is from RNAcentral.
GCUAACUCCUUCUCUGACCCUAAAUUCACCAGAACGGUUAUUUAAUUUCACUCCCAACCUAAAGGUCCUGCUCUUUAUCCAGCUUGAAUUGUCAGUGAAGCUGAGAUCACCCAGAUAUCCCACACCAUCCCUUAGCUGAAUGAUUAAAUCUCCAGUCAAUAAUGGACGUUUUCCUUCUCUUGCACGAAUAACCAUUUUGCUGA